Molecule: long non-coding RNA, 451 nt
Filed under: Homo sapiens (human)
Lineage: Eukaryota; Metazoa; Chordata; Mammalia; Primates; Hominidae
Description: non-protein coding lnc-NIT2-1:2
Source: RNAcentral
AGUUAUUUAAUAUAGCAGUUCAUAAUUUAGGCCAUGGAUCAUCUCUGCAGAGAAUCCUACCAUGCUGCAUUCUUGCUUUAAACCUUUCGCCCUCUAAAACAAUGCCCAAGAGCCAAUGUUAGUCAUGGUCUUCCUGUAUUUGCUCUAGGUAAGCUGUUUCAUAGCCUUCCAGGACAACACUUGCACAGGUUAUCUUUAAGCACCAACAAAAGAAAUGGAGAAAUUUGAGCCAUGUAUCCUGAGCUCUGAAAGGCAGCAAUCAUCUUGACCCCAAGCAUACACCAUGUUCAGCUUCCUCCCCUUGGCCAGGUACCACAGCUACUUCUAUCCCAGUGAUCAGCAGGCCCUCCAGCAUGAAGACCUUUGAGAAGGAUCUAUAGCUGUCAACUCCUAAUAUGAUUUGUGCACUAUCACCUUGAAGUAAACCAGACUAGUUAUUUUCAUGCUAAGA